GCCUUGCGGGCGCUGACGAAGGCGGGCAGCCCCCCGUAGAGCCAGCCCACCACGCCCGCCGUGAAGGCCGACUUGGCGAUGUUCACCGUCUCCUCCGGGAACUGCUGCUGCUCGCUGCAAGGGCCAGGUUUGUUCCCCUGCGAGAGAGAUGAGUUUGGGGGCUGUGAUGCCCGGUUUGCAUAGGACAGAGGAGAAGAAGCCCCCGGGCUUUGAAGACGCAAAUGCUGCACGGCGAGAUGGUGCCUCUCACUGCCUUCCCUAAAACAACUCAACUCCCUCUGUUGUGAAUCCUCCUUUCACCAUAGCAGCGAAAGCUCCCCACCAGGGGAGGUGCCUGGGUCUUCCCACCGAGCCUGUGCAUAUUUUAUGGGACUGGAAUUGCCGGGAUUCUUCCCCCACUUCUGCCCAACCAUCACUUUGGCCAAGGGCCGCCUAAGAGGCAAAUAUCAAUUCUCAUUGCAAGAUCUACAAAUGGAAAAGGUGAGGCUCUGCAGAUCUCUUAUUACUCUUCUGACGAAGCAACAUGCAGUCAGCAAAACUUCAUUUUUGUUUGUUUUAUUCUAAAAAACACUUUGUUACAAAUGGUUUUAAAA
Melospiza melodia melodia is the source of this 593-nucleotide long non-coding RNA. RefSeq lists it as uncharacterized. Lineage: Eukaryota; Metazoa; Chordata; Aves; Passeriformes; Passerellidae. The transcript is spliced from 2 exons. The record is from RefSeq and is a predicted model, not a curated record.